UACGGAGGGUGCAAGCGUUAUCCGGAUUUACUGGGCGUAAAGAGUGCGUAGGCGGUUCGUUAUGUCUGCUGUGAAAGCCCCGGGCUUAACCCGGGAAUGGCAGUGGAAACUGGCGGGCUUGAGUGUGGCAGAGGGGGGUGGAAUUCCGCGUGUAGCAGUGAAAUGCGUAGAGAUGCGGAGGAACACCGAUGGCGAAGGCAGCCCCCCUGGGCUAACACUGACGCUGAGGCACGAAAGCGUGGGGAGCAAACAGG
Molecule: ribosomal RNA, 254 nt
Filed under: uncultured bacterium
Lineage: Bacteria
Description: partial 16S ribosomal RNA
Rfam family: Bacterial small subunit ribosomal RNA
Source: RNAcentral